GUAGGUGGCAAGCGUUGUCCGGAAUUAUUGGGCGUAAAGCGCGCGCAGGCGGUUCUUUAAGUCUGAUGUGAAAGCCCACGGCUCAACCGUGGAGGGUCAUUGGAAACUGGAGAACUUGAGUACAGAAGAGGAAAGCGGAAUUCCACGUGUAGCGGUGAAAUGCAUAGAGAUGUGGAGGAACACCAGUGGCGAAGGCGGCUUUCUGGUCUGUAACUGACGCUGAGGCGCGAAAGCGUGGGGAGCAAACAGGAUUAGAUACCCUGGUAGUCCACGCCGUAAACGAUGAGUGCUAAGUGUUAGGGGGGUUUUCCGCCCCCCUUAGUGCUGCAGCUAACGCAUUAAGCACUCCGCCUGGGAGUACGGCCGCAAGGCUG
This 374-nucleotide ribosomal RNA is filed under the name uncultured organism. Its description in RNAcentral is "partial 16S ribosomal RNA". It matches the Rfam family "Bacterial small subunit ribosomal RNA", at positions 527 to 896 of the family's 1533-position model. The record is from RNAcentral.